CCGGCGCACGGGUGAGUAACGCGUACGCAACUUACCUCCAAGCGAGGGAUAGCCCUGGGAAACUGGGAUUAAUACCUCAUGUGAUUAUGAUACCGCAUGGUAAUAUAAUUAAAGUUCAGGCGCUUGGAGAUGGGCGUGCGUCCUAUUAGCUAGUUGGUUGAGGUAACGGCUCACCAAGGCGACGAUAGGUAGGAGGCGUGAGAGCGUGGCCCCCCACACGGGUACUGAGACACGGACCCG
This 240-nucleotide ribosomal RNA is filed under the name uncultured bacterium. Its description in RNAcentral is "partial 16S ribosomal RNA". It matches the Rfam family "Bacterial small subunit ribosomal RNA", at positions 95 to 334 of the family's 1533-position model. The record is from RNAcentral.